GCACAACUCCUCCUCUGCUGAAUCAUGAUUUAACCUUAUCUGUCUAGAGCAUGAAGCACAAGCCCCACUGUAACCAAGCUUUUCAAGAUCUCCUAGUGGUGGAGGAAACACUUCAGCCAAGUCACAUGUAUCAUUAUGCGUCUCAGGACAAUUACCAGUGCCUAGUUCACCACUUUUCAAGAUAAUAUCACCAUCUGUAGAAGUAGAACACGUCAACCCAGCAAUAUGCAAAUUAUUCCCAGGCACAGAGCAGCUCUCUGGUAACCUUCCGGAAUCUCCAGAAAUUUCUCCCACUGUGCAGCCAUUUUUAGAUACUCCCGAACCAUUUUCAGCAGGAAGAGCAACAGAUUUUUCUGUAGAACAGCAUCUGCGAUUUGAA
This 379-nucleotide unclassified non-coding RNA is filed under the name Hevea brasiliensis (rubber tree). Lineage: Eukaryota; Viridiplantae; Streptophyta; Magnoliopsida; Malpighiales; Euphorbiaceae. The record is from RNAcentral.